Molecule: small nuclear RNA, 107 nt
Organism: Lepisosteus oculatus (spotted gar)
Lineage: Eukaryota; Metazoa; Chordata; Actinopteri; Semionotiformes; Lepisosteidae
Source: Ensembl
AUGCUUGCUUCGGCAGCACGUAUACUAAAAUUGGAACGAUACAGAGAAGAUUAGCAUGGCCCUUGCGCAAGGAUGACACACAAAUUGGUGAAGCAUUCCAUAUUUUU